AAAUAAAGAAAGAAAAAAAUAAAGAAAGAAUCCUCCUGCAAUCAUGAACAGGCCAGGCAAUAACUCUUUUCUUCCAGAUUUCUUUCCAGAGACAGACUAAAUUUCUCCACAAGUAAAAUAAAAAACCAUAAAACAAAAGUGAAUGCUCAGAAUAGGACAUGAUUAUGUCUGGUCAUAGCAUCAGAAGUAAUCAUGAGGGCAUCUGUACUGUCUCAUUUGACCAAAGGUCAGAUUUAUGAGUGGGCAAGGCAGAUGAAGUAGACAGACAUGGUAAGUGACAUUUCAGACGUAGGAAAUUGAAGAGCCCUGGCCAGAGAAGUGACAGUGUUUCUGUGUGUUGGUGGUAUAAGUGAAGUAAGAGGAGUCUGAACUAAAGCUGGGAAUUAGACAUAAUCAGUUUCUGGUUCAUAAUUAAGAGAUUGCCUUUAUCUUCCACAUAAUAGAAAGCCAGAGGAGGGUUUUGUUCCUGUGGCUCUCUAUCUCUCUCUGUCUCUGUCUCUUUCUGUCUCUCUGUCUCUGUCUCUCUCUCUCUCUCUCUGUUUAUGCAUAAAAUGAUGCAAACAAAAGUAACUUAGAUUUCUCAAGUAACGCAUAAGUAGUAAUAAAAGAGACUUGGAAACAAGAGGGCUAAUUAGGAGAUCACAGAAUUGAAGGAAAGUGACAAAGAUCCAUUGAAGGACAUGUCUUGCACCAAAUUAUGUCGAUUCCCACACCCUCCAAAUUCUCACACUGAAACCGAUUUCUUCAAUGUGGUCAUAUUUGGAAAUGGGUGUUUAGUGCAGAGGUAGGUGAAACAUGGCCAUAAGAAUAAGGGCCUAGCCAACAGUACUGGUAGCCUGAGAAGAGGAGGCGACACCAGAGUGCUCUCUUUCCAUGUACAUGUAACAUGAAAAAGCCAGGCAAACACAUUACCAGUCAUAAGAGAACCCCACCAGCACUCACCUAGGCAGGCACCCUGUUGUUGAACUUCCAUCCUCCCAUAUGAUAAGGAAAUAAUCUUUUGUUGUCCAAGCCACCCCAUGUUUGUUAUAUCAGUCCAAGCUCACUAAGAUGGACAAUGACAUGAGGGACACAGAGAGUAGACUCAACAGGACAUGACAGCUCAUCCACUCAGGAGUGUGGUCCACAAAAGUCAACAUUGGCUUUGGGAGUCUAGGGCAGUGUCAGGAUGUCAUGAUGCCAUUUAUAGAGCCAACGAAUAGAAGAGGGAAGAAGACUCAUUCUAAGAGACAAAGCUUGAUGUUCAUGUCAAACAAAUGGCUUGUCGAAUGUCAGGUGGAGGUAACACAGCCAUCUAUAACCUUCCAGCAGUUAGAGGUGAGGGUUUUGUGGUUAAAAGCCAAACACAAAUCUUAUGUACUUUGCAAUCAUCUGCCAAAGUAUGCCACCACAGACUAUCAUGCAUGAUCAAAAUCACUAGGGUGUAGUAACAUGCAGCUGACAGAAGAUGUUAUGUGUCCAGUAAGAGAAGGUAGCUAUUUCUGUGUGCUACAUAGACCUGGCUUACAUGUUUUCAUGACUCUAGAACUUCCUUAUUGAAAAAAACUGUGAAAAGUAAGUUUACCUUCAAAAUGGUAAAUACCACGUGAUUUAGACACUCCCAAGGAUCCCUUGUGUUCUGAUAGAUAUCCCUGAGAAAGACUAAACAGAGUUUAGUGGACCACACAGUUCAACAAACAAAAGAUACUAUGACCUUGAAGUAGGGUAAAUGGCAAACUGUUUUCCAAACAAAGGACACAUUUACUCUAAGAAGGCCAAGCACACAAAACAAGGCACAUUCUACCCCCACGGGGAGACAGAUUAGGAAGAGAAUUCUACACCCAGGAAUCUUGAGUUUCACCGGUGCAAUGGAGGUACUUCUGUUAGAGAAGUUGGGCCAAAGAGGAAACUACUGAAAUAGAACGUGAUAUUAUGAAACAAAGGGGCGCUUCAUAAAUGUUCAACUGAGAAAAGCAGAGGGUGUUUAGAGAGUGCAGCGAGGACCCUGGCCUGUUAAAAGUGAGUCCUUACACUUGAAGAUGCAGCUGGGAAUUCCCACUCAAUGAGCACCUCACUCCCCUCGAGACAAAAGCUGCAGCAUCUUUGUGUUAUGGUUUCAGAGACCUGGCCAUGAGGGGUCCUUGUAACCUCAUUCUUACUGUAGAAAGUGAUUUGGGCAGGCAGCGUGUCAUUCCCACUUCUUCCACGGCCUUGCAAGCUAUUUCUCUUGCUGUUUAAGUGACAUGUUUCUGAAGACUGUAUGCUGUUAUUUCUUAAUUCUCCAGUUUAGAAUUCUCAUUGACUACACAUUACAGAAUAUCUGGAUUUGCUGUUUUUUAAUUCAGGACUUCCUGUGAUGUGUCCUUCAUUUUCUGCAUUGAGCCCCUAUGAUACCUAGACUUGUCAAGUGGCAGCUAUAGUGGUCCCUCUCCACUGCCACCCCAGGAAUCAUCUGUAUAGAAAUGGUAGUUCAAGCUGCUGGGUUUUUAUAAGAUCACUCAGGGAAUAUGGACAAAGAUUUUGGGGUGCUUCAAUAUUUAGGGGGCAGGAGGGUAAGACAAGUUUACUUACAGGACAGAAGAAAGAUCAGUUUUGGGGAUAGAAAAAGACCAGAGAAACGGUGAUGCUCUAUGAGUUAAGGGGAUAAAGUGUUUCUGUGGGCUCCCUUACAAGGAGAGAGCACAGAAAACCUGUUCCUUCUUAAUUGCUUUCCCCUGAUUAAGUCAGGCCCAAGAUAAUCUCCCUUUUGAUUAAUUGAAAACCAACGGCUUUGAGACUUUAAUUCAUCCCUUUUGUCAUACUCUAUUGGUUAGAAGCGAGUCAGAGUUAGCACUCCCACGCAGGAGAGAGGAUUAUUCAGGGCUUGACUAGCGGGAGACAAGAAGCAGAGGACAUCCCAGUCAGCUUGCCUUAGAAUGGUUUAGUUGGAGAGGAAAUUGUGCUGCCGCAGGAGGGAUUGCAGGAGCAAUGAUGUCUGAUGGGUCAGAGGAGGAGGGAGCAGUCACUGUCCUACCAGGAGACACAGGGGCUGGAGGCAGGACAGUGGCAUGAGGACCCUGUCACCUCUAUCCCCUCCAUAGGUGCCAGUGCUUCAGUGAGACAGAUGUGGUCCUCCCUGUUGGCUCCCUCUUGCUGAGUCCUUCCUCACCCAGGCCCACCUUUCUGCACUGUCUAGUUUGGUUAAGUAUGUUCAAAGUUCGAGUAGACAAUUCUCAUUUGCUUUUGUCUCUUCUCUGCUGUCUUUCUCUGAUUAAAUUUUCCAUUAAGAAUUAACUGUGAGGAAAGGGGAGGUGUAGCCAGGUUGGGGUACAGCUUGAGAGGAGUAAAGGGAGGAACUGAGAGUAAAAUUGAUCAAAAUUCAAAAUACAUCGUCUGACACUGUUAAAGAAUUAAUAGAAUAUAUUUUUGAAUUCACUAGAAAAGUAAACAUAGUACAGAAUUGCUGCUUUAUCCAUUUUAAGAAUACAAUCCAGCAGUUAAAUAUAUUCACAUUGUUAUACAACCAAUUCCAAAACCCUUUCUUCUUACAAAACUGAAGCUUUUUGCCCACUAAAACAAGAAGGCUGCCUUCUGAUGUCCCCAGCCCCUGUCAACCCGCCCUUCUUUCUGUUUCUACAAAUUUUGAUGGUUUUAUUUGCCUUGUGUUUGCAGACCCAAACAGUGUUAUUUUCUUAGGAUUGGCUUGUUCAACUUAAUAUAACAUCUUUAAGCACAUGCCAGAAUUUUUUUUUCCUUUUAAGACAGUAAAUUUAAAGCAGUUAUUUUAAUUUUAUGGGAUUCUCUUAUUUUUCUGCUUAUGAGAUUUCCCCUACUCAUUCAUUUAACUAUUAUUUUGACGGGGAUUUUAAAAAGGAGAGGUAAAUGUGUGUCCAGUCUUUUCUUCAAAAGGAAACUCACAUUCUAUUUGUGAAACAUGAUGUUUAAGGACAGACUCUUGGAUGCUUUUUGAAAUCACCUUAACUUUUCAGGAUCAACUGAAGAAUAGAAUUACAGAAGGAGUUAACAAUUAGUCUGCUCAAAAUAAGAGUCUUUUUGUUUGGUUUGGUUUGCUCGUUUGUUUUUUAAGACCGAAUUGUAGACCAUGCUGGCCUUGAACUCAGAGAUCUGCCUGCCUCUGCCUCUGAAAGGCCUGCCCCAGAACAGCAUUUCACCACCAUCAUCACCACCACACCUGCCCCAACACAGAAGUUCUUAGGCUCCACCUCCGUCUAUUGAAUCUGAAAGGGGGGCGUGUCCUGUAGCACCAGCAUUUUAAUCAGCCCCCUAGAAAAUCGGUUCUUCUAGAACUUGAGAACCUCUAGUCUUCUAGACAUAACCCUGUAGAACUGCAUCUAGAGAUUCAAUAUUUUACAUUGAUUAGUCCAAACUCUAGGAUUUCCAGAUUGUGAGAUCACUUUUGGCAGACAAUGUUGUGAUUUGUGUAUAACACCUUUUUUUUUUUUUAAGACAGGGUUUCUCUUUAUAGACCUGGCUGUCCUGGAACUCACUUUGUAGACCAGGGUGGCCUCGAACUCAGAAAUCUGCCUGCCUCUACCUCCCAAGUGCUGGGAUUAAAGGCGUGCACCACCAACGCCCAGCAGUCUAUAACACUUAUAAUCCACUGUUUUCAGUAGAUAAGGCAGGCCAUGUCAAGUAUGUAUAUUGCUACAUCUUCAUCCUACAUCCCAGUGGCUGCACUUACUGGACCACCACAGACAAGGUCAGAUAGUCUACAAGAUGGUCAAGACCGUCUAGGGUUCACCAACUCCAUGGAUCAGAACUUUGGUCAGGCACCUACCAGAGGGCUAGAGUGACUUCUAAAUGCACCACUGGCCAAAGCAGUCACAAUCCCCCUUGCGUUGCACUCCGGGCUUAGGAAUGGUUUUGGGUUUCGUGAGUCACAUAUUUUCCUUAUGUGUGGGCAGAAAGGUAAGUGAGAACAACUA
Molecule: long non-coding RNA, 4904 nt
Organism: Mus musculus (house mouse)
Lineage: Eukaryota; Metazoa; Chordata; Mammalia; Rodentia; Muridae
Product: predicted gene, 51992
Exons: 3
Source: RefSeq, a predicted model, not a curated record